AUAUCAAUAAGCGGAGGAAAAGAAACUAACAAGGAUUCCCCUAGUAACUGCGAGUGAAGCGGGAAGAGCUCAAAUUUGUAAUCUGCCGUAUGGCCGAGUUGUAAUCUGGAGAAGCGUUAUCAGAUGUCGACCGCAUUAAAGUCUCUUGGAACAGGGCGUCACAGAGGGUGAGAAUCCCGUGAGUAAUGCGGCUGCGGCGUUGUAGAGGCGGUCUCGACGAGUCGAGUUGUUUGGGAAUGCAGCUCAAAUUGGGUGGUAAACUCCAUCUAAAGCUAAAUAUUGGCGAGAGACCGAU
This 295-nucleotide ribosomal RNA is filed under the name uncultured Dacrymycetes. Its description in RNAcentral is "partial 28S ribosomal RNA". It matches the Rfam family "Eukaryotic large subunit ribosomal RNA", at positions 40 to 338 of the family's 3401-position model. Lineage: Eukaryota; Fungi; Basidiomycota; Dacrymycetes. The record is from RNAcentral.